UACGAAGGGGGCAAGCGUUGUUCGGAAUUACUGGGCGUAAAGGGCGCGUAGGCGGCCGCCUUUGUCAGGUGUGAAAGCCCCAGGCUCAACCUGGGAAUUGCACUUGGGACGGGGUGGCUUGAGUUCGGGAGAGGAGAGUGGAAUUCCCAGUGUAGAGGUGAAAUUCGUAGAUAUUGGGAAGAACACCGGUGGCGAAGGCGGCUCACUGGCCCGAAACUGACGCUCAUGCACGACAGCGUGGGGAUCAAACAGG
RNAcentral lists this ribosomal RNA (253 nucleotides) under uncultured bacterium. RNAcentral's name for it is "partial 16S ribosomal RNA". It matches the Rfam family "Bacterial small subunit ribosomal RNA", at positions 524 to 776 of the family's 1533-position model. The record is from RNAcentral.